RNAcentral lists this ribosomal RNA (559 nucleotides) under marine sediment bacterium BB0608_2216_8.1_7G0. RNAcentral's name for it is "bacterial SSU rRNA". It matches the Rfam family "Bacterial small subunit ribosomal RNA", at positions 85 to 679 of the family's 1533-position model. The record is from RNAcentral.
UUCGGGGAUAGCGGCGGACGGGUUAGUAACGCGUGGGAACGUGCCCUUCACUACGGAAUAGCCUCUGGAAACGGAGAUUAAUGCCGUAUACGCCCUUCGGGGGAAAGAUUUAUCGGUGAAGGAUCGGCCCGCGUCUGAUUAGAUAGUUGGUGGGGUAAUGGCCUACCAAGUCUACGAUCAGUAGCUGGUUUGAGAGGAUGAUCAGCAACACUGGGACUGAGACACGGCCCAGACUCCUACGGGAGGCAGCAGUGGGGAAUCUUAGACAAUGGGCGCAAGCCUGAUCUAGCCAUGCCGCGUGAGUGAUGAAGGUCUUAGGAUCGUAAAGCUCUUUCGCCAGGGAUGAUAAUGACAGUACCUGGUAAAGAAACCCCGGCUAACUCCGUGCCAGCAGCCGCGGUAAUACGGAGGGGGUUAGCGUUGUUCGGAAUUACUGGGCGUAAAGCGCGCGUAGGCGGAUUGGAAAGUUGGGGGUGAAAUCCCGGGGCUCAACCCCGGAACUGCCUCCAAAACUAUCAAUCUAGAGUUCGAGAGAGGUGAGUGGAACUCCGAGUGUAGA